GCCAUUCAUUUAUCUCAACCACGGGAUCCCAAUUUGCAGCCCUAAUCCUAGAGCCACCGUCUCUCCAGAGUUUGAUUCUCCGUCGUCGCUCCUCGUCGUUCUCCAUGCAUACAAUACAAUAGGUCCGUUUGAAUCCUUCCUUUGGAGAAAUUGUUUUUGGGUUCCUGAAACUUGGUCUGGAUUGUUGUUUGUUUCAUUGUUUGUUCGUGCCUUGCUUGGUUUCUCUUUAUCCCUGUUUUCUUCUCUCGCCUGUAAUGUAGGUAGUAGUAAUUUCCCAACCACAUUAAUGUUUGUUUGUGCUUCGCUUGGUUAAUCGUUGUCCUUUAUUCUUCUCGCCCGUAAGUAGUAGUAAAUUUUCCAACACAUUGAUUGGCAGAGGAAAUAACAGAGUAUACUCUUGCUACAGCAAUGAUGGCGAGUUUUGGAGGAGAAACACAAGCUGAGUCACUACCAGCUUGCUUGAGGAACAAGAACCUGUAUUUGGGGUUUGUGUUAAAUGCUACGAUUGUUGGGGUU
Molecule: long non-coding RNA, 516 nt
Filed under: Linum usitatissimum (flax)
Lineage: Eukaryota; Viridiplantae; Streptophyta; Magnoliopsida; Malpighiales; Linaceae
Description: long non-coding RNA (LUSI_LNC002597)
Source: RNAcentral